This 2028-nucleotide long non-coding RNA is filed under the name Bemisia tabaci. Its description in RNAcentral is "lncRNA ENSSSA3NGG007788". Lineage: Eukaryota; Metazoa; Arthropoda; Insecta; Hemiptera; Aleyrodidae. The record is from RNAcentral.
CGAAUAAACAAAUUUAUAAAAUAAUCAAAAAGUUCGUGCCAAUGGAAUGAAUUUGGGACAACAGAAUCACUUUACUGCACCAGAGACUCCCUGCGCCUGCGCCCUGCCCAGUAAGCCCGACCCUCGAAGAAGAAGAACAGUGCUGGAAAGUAAUGUUUGUUUACAUAUUGUCUACGGACCGGAGUCCAGGGCGGUCCUCAACGUUGUCCUUUUGUUCUUUGUAGCUACUCUCGGACACAAAUAAAUGUAUUCAAGUGGCAACAAUGCAGUAACGCUGGAAAGUACAACACGCGACACAUUGAAGUAAACGGGAGUGAGCCUUCUGCCUUGCAGCUGACUUCAGCUGAGGCAUGGCUGAGGCGGUGUGGACCAUGUGGCUGAUUAGGUUAUGAUAAUAGUUUGGUUUUGGAGUUGGCAAAUAUUCAUGAUAAUAUCCAUUCUCUUGGAUGACAGUGUUUAGAACUGGUCCCUAGUUUCGACAGGAGUUAUUUAUGGUGUAUUUAGCGUUAUCGCGUUAUCAGUCACUGACUUAUAAUAGGCGACACAUAGUCAUUUUGCCGAGUUUUGUCAUGUUAUCGGUCACCUGUUGGCAUCCUGUUGGUCACUUUUUUAGAUUGAAAUAUCAAUCAUGUAAUGGAAGAGGUUCCUUUUACGCCUCUACGAUAUUGUAGAAAAGAGAUAACAUAUUCGGAGUAGUGAGACUGUGCCCACUGUGAUGUCAUGCAUUAGUUCAUUUCAGGAUUUUAUAUCAUAGUAAACAAUGGCUACAUUGAAUCUACGGGUGACCACAACGAAAACAUCUUACAAAUCAAACAAAUCUCCCUUCGGAACCUUAUCAAGAGACCUAUUAGAAUCGCUUAGCAUACGUCCUAGGAUUAAUCAUGCUGAGCUUUCAAGUGAAUUAUUGGCAGUUGACUCAUUGGACGCUCAAUUAAGGAUACUUCAUCAAAGAGUUGAAGAAGAAUUAAAUCAGACACCAUGGAAACAUCGGAGUCUCUUGAGUAUUUGCUGCUGUUGUACUUUAAAUUACCUCCACCAAAUCCGCUGAAAGCCAGAUUGCUCAAAUUGUUCAAAAAGUGGUCGGGAGAGAAAGAGAAGUCCUUCAAGAAAUUUUGGGAUCAUACUAUAUCUUCUAUUUUGGCUGAGGAAAAGAUGGACUCCUCAAUCAGCGUGAAGAAUAUUACCACUCUUCUGGAGUAUUUUGAAGAUAAUACUCACUUGCUCAUGGGUCUGUAUCUACCGUUCAUAAAAUAUGUUGAGUGUGUGAUCAAAACAACCAUUGAUAGCAGUUUAAAUCCAGGACUGUUACCUUCGCAGAAAUUGAGUUGUUAUGAGUGCAUUCAUAACUGCGUUCGAGCUUUUUUGCUGAUCAUCAGCUCCUCUGUUGAUCAAAGGAUUGUUGCAGACCUUGAUGAUAAAGGCAUUCUGAAUACCUUAGAAACGCUCAUGCAAAAUUCUGAGUUACCUUUAGAUACAAAAUUGAACUGUGGUCUGCUCUUCAUGCGAAUAACUUUGAAAGCAAAGGGAGAGUCAGAUUUUUUUAAAACUUUUCAGAGAUGUGUAAUCGAUCAUCCACCAAGUUUACAUGACAGCACCCAUGGAGUUUGUGAUUUGUUGACACAGAUCUCUUGCUGUGCACCUUUGUUAAAUACUUUCACAAUCCCAGAAUUGAACAGCAGGCAUAUCGGAAAAUCAAGUUCCUCCGUGUUCUCAGAAUUUAUGUGUUUCUGUUUAACAUGACCAAAACCCCUGCAAUUGAUAAAAACACUAUCUUAGCUCUAAAUAUUACAAUCGAAAGAUUGGCGGAACAACUGUCAAAGUAUCCUGCGCAUGCUGAAAUGGAGCUCUCGCAAAGUUUUUGAACUACAUUAUAACACACAUUGAUCACUAUCUGGACACAGUGAGGCAUAGGACAAAACAAUUUUUGAGCAUUUCAUCAAUUUCACUUCAUCUAGCACAUCCAUGAGAGAUGAAUUAAUUACUUCCUUGAGGGAAUCAAAGAUGACAAGUCGUUUUUCUGUUUUGGCA